This 63-nucleotide transfer RNA is filed under the name Urocitellus parryii (Arctic ground squirrel). RNAcentral's name for it is "Spermophilus parryii (Arctic ground squirrel) tRNA". It matches the Rfam family "tRNA", at positions 5 to 66 of the family's 71-position model. Rfam says of the family: Transfer RNA (tRNA) molecules are approximately 80 nucleotides in length. RNAcentral also lists the same sequence under 2 other names. The record is from Rfam by way of RNAcentral. Lineage: Eukaryota; Metazoa; Chordata; Mammalia; Rodentia; Sciuridae.
GUGUAGCUCAGUGGUAGGGCUCUUGCCUAGAAUGCACAAAGCCCUGGGUUCAAUCCCCAGCAC